GCUGGAACAGGAGAGGGCACGAAGGCAGUGGUCAGAGAAGGAAGAAUCGAUGCCUAGAAUGGAGAUUUUAGAGCUGGUGACAGGGCCAGGGUGAGUUCACAGGAGCGGCUGAGAUGAGGUGAAGGAAAAGGGCUCCAGAGUGUUGCGGGACAUUCCUUGUAGCUGCUGAAGCCGCCGAGGAGGAUGAGACGAGAUGUACUGCUCAUGGGCGGGUGCAGAAGACUGAGCUAGGCACGGAAGUUUGAGUUGGAGGCCGGUAGAUGAGGGCCAUGUGGAGGAAGGGAGCGACAGGGGCAGCCAGUAGCACCAGGGGAGCCAGGAUUUUGCAAGAGAGAGGGAAAGGGACAUGGGGGUGCCUGUCCCUGGGGGAGGGUUGGGUGCCCUGGGAGAGCCUGCCCUCCGGCCUCCUGUGUUCCUGUGUGAAAUGCUGGAGGCUGGGGGCCCGGAGGAGCUCUGGGCUUAGGAAGAUCUGAGGACUUUGACCAAAUUAUCAACUUCUCUGAGCCCGUUUCCUCCUCUGUGAUGUGGGGAUAGUAAUGGUCCCCAUCUCAGUGCAUUGCGGGAGGAGCAGAAACAAGGUGGUGAAGCUUUUGACCAGGUGCUGGGAAUGGAGCCCCUGGGACCUGCGUGGUUUGUCCUGCUCUCAUGAGAGCACGGUGUUUUGAUUCCCAAGGGACUCAGGGAGCGCAACCGAAUAGGGGUCCCUUCCUCCCCUCUCAGUCUCAAAACUAGGGCCAGGGACUGGCCGGAUCCCCAGAAGAAUCUAGUUUAUCCAGCAAGUAACUGCCCACUUGUCAGACAGCUUUGGUGCUUUGGGAGGUCCCUGCAGUCAGCUUCUCAAGCCCCAGGGCCUCCUGGGCCACUGACCCCUCUGCAGUGAGACAGGGACCAACGGCUUU
Molecule: long non-coding RNA, 899 nt
Filed under: Homo sapiens (human)
Lineage: Eukaryota; Metazoa; Chordata; Mammalia; Primates; Hominidae
Description: HSALNT0245346
Source: RNAcentral